CCCAGACCUCACUGAAGGUUGGCAGUGGAGGUGAGGGUAUCUUGCUCGAGAUUCCUGCCUAUCUCAGGCUUUCUAAAGUGACUGUCAUUCUCAUAGAACUUCUUCAAAAGAAGAACGUAUUCCUGCCUUUUGACAGUUGCAGUCAUUUUCUCUGAAGUACUACAACCUUGGCUUUGCAAAAGAACUUCCAGAAUUGAAUGCUGAUUUUAUGAAGCUGCUGGUCUCCAUCUCAUGUAGAACAGUGGUGUGUGGAAUGCCUACUGAAGUUUCAGUCAACUGGGUUAGUUUGUCUCUUGUCAAUUGUUCCUCUAAUUAAUAAUAAUAAAAAGGAAUACAAACUCAUUUUGUGUGGCAACGCUCACUAGGCAGACAGCUGCAUAAUACAUUCCGCUCUGAAAUCCAGCUGAUACUCCACAGCAGAUACUAAGGUUGUAUGCAUUUGGUCUUAAAGGUGUAAUGACACUCUGGAGUGGGCCUUUAUCAUCUGUAGGGUUUUUGAUUUGAGAGGAUGAUAGUAAGGAUACUUCUGCUGUCUUCUGUGUGAUCGUGAUUUUACCACAAGCAGAGGACCAGUAGCAAUCUAAAAGAAUGGCUUAAUAAAACCAGAUUUCCUUGCUAGUGAAAAUGUGGCAUAAUAAACCAUUUUUAUGAGAAGUUAAACUGGUGAAGUGGAAAUUCAUCCUUAUUUCUACAUGGGAAGAACUGUUACGUAGGAAGUCUUGUUCUGGGAUGGAUAACAGAUUCUCUGUCUGAAAAGUCUUCAGUAUUUUUUUCCUGUGAAUUUGGUUAAUGGAUUGAAGACCACCUUUAAUGUAGUUCAGAGCUCUACUUGUUAAUAGUGAUGAAGAGGAGAACAAGUGGACUUCCUUACAGAUUCACCAUAAAAUUCCACCAUGUUGGCUCCUUACUACUCUACAGUUUGCAUUUUGCACAGCACCUUGGAAAAAUCUCAUGGACUGUUUUUCUCUUCAGAACGUGAGGACUUAACUGCUUACAUUUCUGAGCAACAUUUUUGGCCACUGAAGAGGAUUGUUAUAACCUGUAUGAUUCAGGAAAAACUGCUCUGAGAAUGCUCAACUGGGACCUCAUGGACAAUUUUAUUCUACGCACUCAAAGUAGAGCUUUGGUCCCCCAGCAAAUGCUGUCACAGAUCUCAGUAGGGUCAUUUUUCUGCCUUACUUGAGAGAAAAUAAUAAUUAUUCAGGAAAAAUAUUUUAGAGUUUGAAACAGCUUUUCUUUAUGUUCACCACAUCCACAACUGACCAAACAAUAAACAAUGGGAAAGUUUGUCUCAGAAACACAGCUUAGCAGAAUAAAAAAAGCUGGAAUUCUUUCAACAAAGUAUAUUCUAUUUUUCUUAGAUAUUAUGAAAACUGAUGUCACUUGUAAUUCUUCAGGCAAGAAAAAUCCUUCCAGUUUGCAGAACAUCAAUGCAGUCAUUUUUUCCCUUGACUAAUCUAUAAAAAGACAUUGUAUAUAAAUGUUAUUUUCUCUGCCAGAAAUGCAUUCCUGGAACAUAAUAAAGGCUUUUUUUGUUUUUGUUC
Molecule: long non-coding RNA, 1544 nt
Organism: Gallus gallus (chicken)
Lineage: Eukaryota; Metazoa; Chordata; Aves; Galliformes; Phasianidae
Source: Ensembl